UUUGGAGACUGCAGCUUCAUGCUAGCCAAAAAACAUCUGAUUAGCUAAGCAGGGUCUAGGCCACUUAGUACUUAGAUGGGAGACCACCAGGAAACACGGGACAUUUCCAGAC
RNAcentral lists this ribosomal RNA (112 nucleotides) under Pogona vitticeps (central bearded dragon). Lineage: Eukaryota; Metazoa; Chordata; Lepidosauria; Squamata; Agamidae. The record is from RNAcentral.